Oxyura jamaicensis (ruddy duck) is the source of this 2087-nucleotide long non-coding RNA. RefSeq lists it as uncharacterized. Lineage: Eukaryota; Metazoa; Chordata; Aves; Anseriformes; Anatidae. The transcript is spliced from 2 exons. The record is from RefSeq and is a predicted model, not a curated record.
CUGUGGCUGAGGAAGGUGGGAUGGGUGAGGCUGGGCCUGUUCCCAUUAGUCACAGAGCCACAGCUUAAACGGAGCUGAAGUGCAGUGGGAGCUCCCUCUUGUGGAUCCAUCUUCUCCCCAGUCAGAACCAUACCAGAGCACAAGGAAAAAGUCACAAAUUCAACUAGGGGAAGUUUAGGUUGGAUAUCAGGGGAAUUUCUUCAUGGUGAGGGUGAUCAAGCACCAGAAUGGGCUGCCCAAAGAAGUGGUGGGGUCUCCAUCCCUGGAGGCACUCAAGAGACCCAUCGAUGUGGCAUUCAGGGACCUGGUUUAGUGAUGGGAAUCACUAGGUCAGGCUGAUGGUUGGCCUGGAGGGUCUUGAAGCUCUUUCCCAGCCUAAAGGAUUCUGUGAUUCCAGACUCAGAACUCUUUUCCCAAGUGGCUUCCCCCAUUUCUGACACAUCAAAGCUUUUAUUGGCUAGCAGCAAUUACUCUUGGUUAGCGUGGCCAAAAGCAGUUAUGAUAAAGUUUGUUUGUUUGUUUUCCCUGGUCACAGUCCCCGAGUGUGAGGUCUGGGUCUGAGGGUAAAUAAAGAAUAGGAACAUGAAGCCCAAGGGUGGAGACAUGAUGAUGAGCAUGUCCUGGAUGGAAACUCAUCCACACCAGCACUGUCCCUCAAAACCAUUAGGCAUGAUCAUGAAUGUGCCUACUGCACGUCCAGCUAAUCCUCUUAAGGGUGGCUAUCAAAGGAGAUGAAAGUGUCCUAGGCACAGCAUGAAGAAUGUGUUUUUCUUUCUGCUGGUCAUUAGUUUUAAAGGGAAUCAAAACCGAGGAAAAUGUAGACUUAUUUUAUAUUUUACUUUCUUUCAUGCUGAGACAUGGUAUUCAGAGUGGGCCCUACCUCAGCACCCAUAACACCCUCCUGCCUUUUACUCAGUGCAAUGGACUCUGAACUGGAUGCACAAAGACCUGCAGAUUUUGUCCAACUGUUUUCCUCCUAGCAGUUAACCCCAAAAAGAUACAUGGGCUGCACUGCACUGGGCACUGGGGAGAGGGCAGCUCAAUUUAGCAAUUGCUGGCAAGCCACUCAUUCCCAAGAAUGAGUUGAAAUUACCUCUUACACUUCUUUCUCCCUGGUCUUUUAAAUUUCCUUCUUUCUUUUUUUCUAAUAUUGAAAUAUUUAUAGUUACAACCCCCAGUCCCUUGAAAGCAUGAACAAGAGGAAGGAAGACUAGUCCAGGGGUUUACUGCCUUUCCAUCCCAAUCCUUUACAGACCUACAGGAGAGAAAAUGAGGAUAAAGUCUGUUUAAGCACACACAUGCAUAUACCUACUUCUCACCUAAGCCAGGGCCCUUCUUUCAGUUAGCACCUUGCAUCUGAAAAGUCUAUGCCAGGACUGGAAUCUGUACACACAGAUCUUCAUUUAGGGAAACUGGGGCUGCCUAUGUUGGCAGGGGGAAGAAGGGCAGCCUUGUAUGAAAUAUGCCCUGAGUAUCUAAGCUUGUGCAUUUCCCUCUGAAUCCCAUAAUUUCUGAGCUCUCCCAGCUUUGGAAAAAUGGGCUCAGACCUUCAGGAAGCGAAUUCGGUCUGACCCCAUUUACUUCUCUGUACCGUCAAGUGUGUGACCCGCUGAGGGUAUGGCCCCGUUUCUCCAAAUUCACCAAGCAGGCCAUUUCCCAAAGCCCCCGUCCUUUGGUUACCCAGCAGCUCUCACCUCAUCACGCCGGCUUUGUGUCCCUAUCGCAUCGCCAGACCUUGCUGCUUCGAAGAGCCGAGUGUUGAGGAUGGUGAAGAGCAGCUUCGACGCCAGGAGACUCUCACGAGUCCCAUUCAAGGAGGAAAGAAGGUCCCCGUCAGCCUGAGCUGGACUGCAGUUGGGUUGCAUUACUAUUGUUUACAGUGUGUAUAUAAGUGUACAUUUCCUUUAGCAGACAUUGGAAUUUUUUAUGUAUAGAUUUUUAUUUUUCAUCCACAGAUGUAUUUAUUAGCUGGAGUAUUUCUGUUUUGUGAUUCAAGUAAAGUCAGAUUGAUGUAAGCUCUAUGAAACAGAAUGCACAUAUUUUUGUUUAUUUGUACCAAAUACAUGCACAAACCCGUCUAAAACAUU